RNAcentral lists this non-coding RNA (28 nucleotides) under Mus musculus (house mouse). The record is from RNAcentral. Lineage: Eukaryota; Metazoa; Chordata; Mammalia; Rodentia; Muridae.
UAGAGAGGAAAUAACACAGCUAGCAAGU